Molecule: ribosomal RNA, 450 nt
Filed under: Verrucaria muralis
Lineage: Eukaryota; Fungi; Ascomycota; Eurotiomycetes; Verrucariales; Verrucariaceae
Description: partial 18S small subunit ribosomal RNA
Source: RNAcentral
GAGGAAGUAAAAGUCGUAACAAGGUUUCCACAGUUGAAGAACAUCCUUCUUUGAAGCCUUCUGCACAACGACUCUAACUAUGUGCUUAGUCUGCCCUGUGAGUGGUGGGCGACGUCACCUGUAUGCUGGAAUGCACUUUUGUGGGACCAGCAGCCAAACGUUAUAUCUGCCCCGAUAUAUUUGGUUCACAGAUUAGAUGGUGGCGGUCAGCAUAACGCUUCGUUAGAUGUCCACGAUGCCCUAAUUCAUUUGUCAUACGAUGUAUGAUCUCGCAGAGUCCCAGGGACCUCUUGGACUUAACACCUUCCAAAUCAGGGAUUUCGACCCUCGAAUGAGUUAAUCGGGUGUGGCUCUAACUUUGCCGGCGCUGAUCAAGAUAUAAUCGGUCUCCGUAGCUUGCAACUAUGGUCUGAGAAACGUUCCGUAGGUGAACCUGCGGAAGGAUCAUUA